GAUGAACGCUGGCGGCGUGCCUAAUACAUGCAAGUCGAGCGAACAGACGAGGAGCUUGCUCCUCUGACGUUAGCGGCGGACGGGUGAGUAACACGUGUAUAACCCACCUAUAAGACUGGGAUAACUUCGGGAAACCGGAGCUAAUACCGGAUAAUAUAUUGAACCGUAUGGUUCAAUAGUGAAAGACGGUGUUUCUGUCAGUUCUCGAUGGAUCCGCGCCUUAUUAGCUAGUUGGUAAGGUAACGGCUUAUCAAGGCGACGAUGCGUAGCCGAACUGAGAGGGUGGUCGGCCACACUGGAACUGAGACGCGGUCCAGGCUCCUAAGGGAGGCAGCAGUAGGGUAUCGUCCGCAGUGGGCGGAAGCAUGACGGAGCGGCGCCGCGUGAGUGAUGACGGUCUUCGGAGCGUGAAACUCUGUUAUGAGUGAAGAACAGAUGUGUAAGUUACUAUGCACGUCUUGACGGUACCUAAUCAGAAAGCAACGGCUAACUACGUG
Molecule: ribosomal RNA, 497 nt
Filed under: uncultured bacterium
Lineage: Bacteria
Description: partial 16S ribosomal RNA
Rfam family: Bacterial small subunit ribosomal RNA
Source: RNAcentral